RNAcentral lists this non-coding RNA (87 nucleotides) under Pseudomonas japonica. Lineage: Bacteria; Pseudomonadati; Pseudomonadota; Gammaproteobacteria; Pseudomonadales; Pseudomonadaceae. The record is from RNAcentral.
CGUUAUGGCGGCUGUGCGUGUGGGCACCCUCGGGUGCGCCGGGUUUUCCUUUGUCCGGUCUGCUACCCGCGUACAGUCGCCACCUUU